GACGAACGCUGGCGGCGUGCUUAACACAUGCAAGUCGAACGGAAAGGCCCUGCUUUUGUGGGGUGCUCGAGUGGCGAACGGGUGAGUAACACGUGAGUAACCUGCCCUUGACUUUGGGAUAACUUCAGGAAACUGGGGCUAAUACCGGAUAGGAGCUCCUGCUGCAUGGUGGGGGUUGGAAAGUUUCGGCGGUUGGGGAUGGACUCGCGGCUUAUCAGCUUGCUGGUGGGGUAGUGGCUUACCAAGGCUUUGACGGGCAGCCGGCCUGAGAGGGUGACCGGCCACAUUGGGACUGAGAUACGGCCCAGACUCCUACGGGAGGCAGCAGUGGGGAAUAUUGCACAAUGGGCGGAAGCCUGAUGCAGCAACGCCGCGUGCGGGAUGACGGCCUUCGGGUUGUAAACCGCUUUCGCCUGUGACGAAGCGUGAGUGACGGUAAUGGGUAAAGAAGCACCGGCUAACUACGUG
RNAcentral lists this ribosomal RNA (468 nucleotides) under uncultured bacterium. RNAcentral's name for it is "partial 16S ribosomal RNA". It matches the Rfam family "Bacterial small subunit ribosomal RNA", at positions 28 to 507 of the family's 1533-position model. The record is from RNAcentral.